RNAcentral lists this ribosomal RNA (253 nucleotides) under uncultured bacterium. RNAcentral's name for it is "partial 16S ribosomal RNA". It matches the Rfam family "Bacterial small subunit ribosomal RNA", at positions 524 to 776 of the family's 1533-position model. The record is from RNAcentral.
UACGUAGGGCGCAAGCGUUGUCCGGAAUUAUUGGGCGUAAAGAGCUCGUAGGCGGCUUGUCACGUCGGGUGUGAAAGCCCGGGGCUUAACCCCGGGUCUGCAUUCGAUACGGGCAGGCUAGAGUGUGGUAGGGGAGAUCGGAAUUCCUGGUGUAGCGGUGAAAUGCGCAGAUAUCAGGAGGAACACCGGUGGCGAAGGCGGAUCUCUGGGCAAUUCCUGACGCUGAGGCGCGAAAGCGUGGGGAGCAAACGGG